CAAAAGUUUUAUUCUAGCUUAGAAUUUGGGUUUAAUUUUAUUUUACAUGUAAGUUGUAGCGUUUUAGGUUUAAAAUUUAAAUAAUUUUUUUUAUUAAUUUAAUUCGCAGUGGGGGAAUUUGAAUAUCAACGUUAGUUGGAUUUAGGGAUAAUUAAAUUAAUAUUAACAAAAUUUGUGCCAGCAGUUGCGGUUACACAGAUAUUAUUAUUCAAAUUUUUCGGUUAUAGUUAGUCAGUUCUUUUUCUUUAAAAAAUAGCUUAUAGGGUGGAAUUUUUAAGUUAUUUUAAGGUUAAUAGGGGUGGACGAGGCUGAGAAAUUCUGCAUUAAACUAGGAUUAGAUACCCUAUUAUUAUGAACGUUAAAUUUGAUUCCGGGUUAGUAACAGUUAUUUUCUUGAAAAUUAAAGAUUUUGGCGGUACUUUAGUCCUUUCAGAGGAACCUGUCCUGUAAUCGAUGACCCACGAUUUUAUAUACUUUUUUUAUUGGUUUACAUAUCGUCGUAGUUUGAAUAUGCUGUUAGGUUUGUUAAUGUUCAAGAUUCUUUUGUAGGAAGGAUAUCAGAUCAAGGUGUAGCUUAUAGAAAAGUAGAGAUGGGUUACAAUAAUUUUAUUUAGAAGGAUUUAUAUAUUUAGAUGUAUAAUAAAUACGGAUUUGGGGGUAAUUUUAAUUAAAUUAUUAAGGUGAUUUAGGCUCUAGGGUAUGCACAUAUCGCCCGUCGCUUUCACUCUAAGGUGAAAUAAGUCGUAACAUAGUAGGCCUACCGGAAGGUGGGCCUGGGUAGAC
RNAcentral lists this non-coding RNA (783 nucleotides) under Cnemoplites australis. The record is from RNAcentral. Lineage: Eukaryota; Metazoa; Arthropoda; Insecta; Coleoptera; Cerambycidae.